AAUUUUGCACUCCAGGCUGUUCUGUCGUUACGUUGUGCAAUCUAUUUCAUCAACUCAUUUCAUCACGAUCUUUCAUUUUCAUCCACGUGGUUUCCCAAGCGGAAAGAAUCUUCUGUAGACGCAAACCUGAAAUUGCAAACUUUUGCAGCAGUAGACCAUCAACCCAUCACUACAUAAAUUAUUGUACACAAGCUCUUCUUAGAUUUUCUUCAAUCUAAAUAUCUGCCCACGACUAUCAUUUUGAUGGUUGGUUUUUAAGUAGGUGUUGCGGGGUUUCUGAAUUGUCAGAAGCAGGACAAAAAAUACUUCGUACAGCCUGAGGAGAACUGAGGAUGGUUGAAGACUGAUUUUUGUUUUCAUAUAUACUUGUUCACUCAUCUCAUCUUGGUUUCUUCACAAAAAGGCUCCAAAAAAUCUGGUGUGAGAAAAUUGCAGACAACAUGUAAGUUUAUCACUAUUUUUACCGUGAAGUUGGCUAAUUCAUCUUAACAAAAAUUUGAAGAGAUUCUCAGCCCCCAAGACUGAAAAAUAAUGGACCUCUAGACAAGGUACGAAGUAAAGCAUUCUGAUACAUGUUUCAUAACCAAUACUUCACAUGGAAUUUGAUUCUUGUAACAAAAAUUACUGAAUUUAACUCCUAACCAAGAAAUUUAAUGUUUCUUGACGCAUGAAUUCAAACCCUCUGUUCAUGAGAACGCAAUUUUCUACUUUAGUCAAAUCU
Molecule: long non-coding RNA, 721 nt
Filed under: Bemisia tabaci
Lineage: Eukaryota; Metazoa; Arthropoda; Insecta; Hemiptera; Aleyrodidae
Description: lncRNA ENSSSA1UGG002474
Source: RNAcentral